GACUACGUUUACAGCCCCGCGAAGGAGGUGCUAAUGAACAUUGUUCAGUGCGUCUGUGUUCAGUUUCUUCCAAAUUGAAUGGUAUUGUGAGCUUCCAUAGUUUCCCGGUCGAUGUAGAGCUCAGAAAAAGGUGGUUGGUGGCAGUACGUCGUGACAACUUUACUGUCACCAAACACACAAAGAUGUGUAGUACACAUUUCGUCGAGUGACUUUGUUGAGGGAGAAAUUGGGGGGCAACAAUAUCUAAAAAGAGGUGUUGUUCCUACAGUCUUGGCGUGGAACUGGCACAUUCAAAAGAGACCUGGUGUUUGGGAAAGAAGACUGAAACCUCCUUCUCCGACUGAGGAGGAUGAAGAACAAGGUGCGCUGCCUAUGGACUGUGCCGUCUCUGAUCCGGUCCAGACACAUGAUUACUGUGCAGUCCCUGAACCCACAGCCCUGGACAUGGCCUUAAUGGAAAACCAUGAGCACGUAAGAGAAAUUGAGGAGCUUCGAGCCAAGCUGGAUAAACUGAUCGUCCAACACGGCUUUGGUCUACAGCGAUUUGCUGGUUCUGACGAGGAUAUACGUUUUUACACAAGAUUUGCAAGCUACACCCACCUGAUGGCCUUCUGGCACUUGAUUGAGCGGGCAGCAGAGACCAGGUUUAUAAGAGUCACAAAUACCAAUUCAUCUGAAACAAGUGUUACUCUAAGAAAACUGGACUAUCACUUGGGCCAACUCUACUGUCUGCUUGGAGCAGCACGGAUAUGGAUCCCCAAGAAACCAUCAAAGCCCAC
Long non-coding RNA from Salvelinus sp. IW2-2015, 779 nucleotides. RefSeq lists it as uncharacterized. The record is from RefSeq and is a predicted model, not a curated record. NCBI's taxonomy places the organism in Eukaryota, Metazoa, Chordata, Actinopteri, Salmoniformes, Salmonidae.